CCUACGGGUGGCAGCAGUGGGGAAUAUUGCGCAAUGGGCGAAAGCCUGACGCAGCGACGCCGCGUGAGGGAUGAAGGUCUUCGGAUCGUAAACCACUGUCAGCAGGGAAGAACGGUCACUGUGCUAAUCAGCAGUGAAUUGACGGUACCUGCAAAGGAAGCACCGGCUAACUCCGUGCCAGCAGCCGCGGUAAUACGGAGGGUGCGAGCGUUAAUCGGAAUUACUGGGCGUAAAGCGCUCGUAGGCGGUAUGUCAAGUCAAGGGUGAAAUCCCCGCGCUCAACGUGGGAACUGCCUUUGAAACUGGCAAGCUGGAGUGUGGGAGAGGGUGGUAGAAUUCCAGGUGUAGGGGUGAAAUGCGUAGAGAUCUGGAGGAACACCAGUGGCGAAGGCGACUAUCUGGCACAUAACUGACGCUGAGGUGCGAAAGCGUGGGUAGCAAACAGGAUUAGAUACCCGAGUAGUC
Molecule: ribosomal RNA, 465 nt
Filed under: uncultured bacterium
Lineage: Bacteria
Description: partial 16S ribosomal RNA
Rfam family: Bacterial small subunit ribosomal RNA
Source: RNAcentral